RNAcentral lists this ribosomal RNA (2796 nucleotides) under Triticum aestivum (bread wheat). RNAcentral's name for it is "partial small subunit ribosomal RNA". Lineage: Eukaryota; Viridiplantae; Streptophyta; Magnoliopsida; Poales; Poaceae. The record is from RNAcentral.
AUGGAGAAAAGUAUGUCUGAUUAUUUUGGAGACGAGAAUGAUUACUGGAGCUGUCAGCAUCACAACAGUGGUACUGAUUAUUUGAAAGAAUCAAAUGAGUUCAUUUAUCGAAAAAAGUUGGGUACUGAUGCCGAACACAGCGCCCUCUCUCGAGCGUUUCUUGACGAAGCAUUCUCUGCAAGGUGUCAUCAGCAAUAUGGACACCUCCUUUGCAAGCUUAAAUCAGUUUGGUUCCAUACAGAGCGGGCAGCUCGCCUAGAAUGUUUAUUUUGUUAUGACAAGUUCAGGAAGGAUGCGCUGGACAUUGUUGCAUUCUUUGAGGAGGAGCUCAAAAAGUGCAAGGAUGGGAACCCCACAACGUUCCAAAUAUAUCAACGAUCUUAUUUAUCAACUUUAAUUAGCCUCAUGCCUACAAUCAUUCAUUUAGUCUUAGAGCUGCUUCGAUCUGUACAUGCACUAUGGAAGGAUGAUACUAUGGUAACUUUACCAGAAGUACUUGCAGAAGAAAUUAGGAAACUGAAACUGCAAGACACUGACCUUUCAGAGUUCAAAGAGAAUGACAUAGCGCAUUGGUUACAGCUAAUCCGUGAGAGAGGAUACAACCUCUUAGGUUUAUGUGCGGCAAUUGAGGGACCAUUCUGCGAGCUGUUAGACAGUUCAUCAGUUAGCGAUGCCAUAAUCGAAGACUUGGGUUGCAUGGAAUCCCGGCAUGUUAGCAAGCUAAUCGAUCUUGUCAUCAUUCCUUUGAUGAAGUAUUGCCCUUCUAAGCGAUUGGGAGAAUGGAUUUUGAAGCUCUUACCACCCUUAUUUAUUUACUGCGAGGACAUACUUUGUGGCGCAUGGUUCAAUCUUCUAAAUAAAGGCCGGGCUGGUUAUCCUUACUACUUCGGUUAUCUUCGUGGGUCACAGAGAAGUGCAAAGAAGUUAGAAGAGUGCCUACUGCUUGACUUGACUCGCAAAGUCUCAAAGUUGCUUGGGGUUCUAGCAUCUUCAAAACCAAUUGGCGCUCUUACAUGUGUGGACCUGCAAUCUGUCAGUACGGCGAAGGCUGCUUCAUCGCGUGAUUCGAAGCGCGCGUCAUCUAACUCUGUUAUUGGAUAUACUUUACAUAAUGAUUGUUUUGGAAUGUUAAAUAUGAACCUAUUUGGGUCAUGGGUUGAUGGUGAAGCAACGAGGGACGCCGUUCCCUUUUGUCGUGCUUUGGUCCAAGUUGCAGUUGCUACACAAAACAGUAAACUCAGACGGUUUAUUCUACAUGAUAUGCUCCCAGCUACAAUUAAGCGCCUUUGUACUGAUCUUCCAUGCGCGGUUCAGCGGACAAUCAAAAAGUUAAGUUGCCAGCUGAACUCAAGCAAGAGCCAAAAGGCUAGUAAAGAUCUUUGGAUCCUAUGUCAAGAGAUUUAUGCAGUUCAUAUACAAAAUCAGGAUUUCACCGCCGAGAACCCGGGCAAUGUGAACAGACGAGGCCAGUUUAAAGAUUGGCUUGCAAGGCAAAAGAAAGAACUUUUUGCGAAGGCAUCUUAUGAUAUUCCAGUGGGCUUUCCUUCUGAUUUGUGGAAUUGGGAGUUUGAAGACGAAUUUCAAAGAUACCUCCCUACCUAUAUUGACAUAUUGUAUGAAGUUGAUGCAAUGGAUUGUCCAGAGUAUGGUUGUUCACGCUCUUCUACGCUUCUUGAGAAACUGAGGCCUGAAUUUCGAUUAAAACAUGGUAUUAACAGUUUUCGGGAUCGUCAUAUGUGGACGAUAAAUGAUAUGAUUAAGCGAAAACUACCUGCAGAAUAUUCCAAGAGGCGUUCCCGUCAAAUGGACAAAUGGCUUUGCAAACUCAUUUCCUCGAAACCUUACUUUAAGCACUCUGAUGAACGUCAAAGUGCCAUGACUUGGCUUAUGGAAGACUCGCCGUUAGAUGCAAAUCUUUCUGAGUUGGAUGUGCAAGAUGCGGUUGAUAUCUUUUACAAUACAAUAUUAUUCUACUUGGAACCUCAGUUUCAUCCUCUAAUACGGGAGGGUCAAAAGGACUUCCUUAUAAAGGUAGCUCACCAGUUCGUUUUUGCAGAAGAGACCAAUUCUUGCAAGCCCCUCGAACCAGAAUCACGUGAUUUUCCUGGCCAUCUGCAGCCUUAUGCAAGUUCAUACAUCCAUACAAUGAAGUUACAAUCUAAGUAUUUUACGGCACAAGAACAAUUCCGUCGGCAUCAGGAGUUUGAUCGAUAUUUGGCUUCCGGAGAACUAGAUGAUGAUGUCUAUAAGUUUAGUUCUUCACAGGAUAAGUCUGUUCUGCAAUUUGUUGAAAAAAACAACGUGAAAAGUCGGUUCGGGAACCUGGAUGAUAAGCUCAUUAAAUUGUCUUUGGAGGAUCGAGCUCAGAUUGUGGAUACAAUACGUCAAGUGGAUAUUUAUUCUGAAAACUUGAAAAACAUAACAGCGGAUGACAAGCUGAAGGUGUGCCUUCAAAACUUGGUGCAUGAGCUAAAGGAGGAAGGCUUUUUCAAUGUUGAUAACGAUUCUAUUGACUGGGAGAAGACAUGUUUUGUAUCACUCAUAGACGAAUUUAAGGAACUAGUUUUCAAAGGACAUGGCUGCCCUAGAUAUGUUGCUAUUCAAGGAAUUAUGGAGUAUUGGAUAAUCUCACAAAGAAGCGACAUAAAUGGACAAGUUGCUUUUGAAAAGGUCAUUGAAGGAGUAUGUCAUACAUGGAAGAAAAACAUUGCAGAGCUUUGGAUGGAUACAAGAUACUACGAGGAAUCAUGUUAUGACUUGCUCAGAAAUCCUUUGAAAAAGAUCCUCCCUAAAUAG